UGCCCCAUAGUCUGGGAUACCACUUGGAAACAGGUGCUAAUACCGGAUAAGAAAGCGGAUCGCAUGAUCAGCUUUUAAAAGGCGGCGUAAGCUGUCGCUAUGGGAUGGCCCCGCGGUGCAUUAGCUAGUUGGUAAGGUAAAGGCUUACCAAGGCGAUGAUGCAUAGCCGAGUUGAGAGACUGAUCGGCCACAUUGGGACUGAGACACGGCCCAAACUCCUACGGGAGGCAGCAGUA
Molecule: ribosomal RNA, 236 nt
Filed under: uncultured Lactobacillus sp.
Lineage: Bacteria; Bacillati; Bacillota; Bacilli; Lactobacillales; Lactobacillaceae
Description: partial 16S ribosomal RNA
Rfam family: Bacterial small subunit ribosomal RNA
Source: RNAcentral